Molecule: ribosomal RNA, 964 nt
Filed under: uncultured Acinetobacter sp.
Lineage: Bacteria; Pseudomonadati; Pseudomonadota; Gammaproteobacteria; Moraxellales; Moraxellaceae
Description: bacterial SSU rRNA
Rfam family: Bacterial small subunit ribosomal RNA
Source: RNAcentral
ACAUGCAGUCGAGCGGAGAUGAGGUGCUUGCACCUUAUCUUAGCGGCGGACGGGUGAGUAAUGCUUAGGAAUCUGCCUAUUAGUGGGGGACAACAUUCCGAAAGGAAUGCUAAUACCGCAUACGUCCUACGGGAGAAAGCAGGGGAUCUUCGGACCUUGCGCUAAUAGAUGAGCCUAAGUCGGAUUAGCUAGUUGGUGGGGUAAAGGCCUACCAAGGCGAGUCUGUAGCGGGUCUGAGAGGAUGAUCCGCCACACUGGGACUGAGACACGGCCCAGACUUCUACGGGAGGCAGCAGUGGGGAAUAUUGGACAAUGGGGGGAACCCUGAUCCAGCCAUGCCGCGUGUGUGAAGAAGGCCUUAUGGUUGUAAAGCACUUUAAGCGAGGAGGAGGCUACUGAGACUAAUACUCUUGGAUAGUGGACGUUACUCGCAGAAUAAGCACCGGCUAACUCUGUGCCAGCAGCCGCGGUAAUACAGAGGGUGCGAGCGUUAAUCGGAUUUACUGGGCGUAAAGCGUGCGUAGGCGGCUUUUUAAGUCGGAUGUGAAAUCCCCGAGCUUAACUUGGGAAUUGCAUUCGAUACUGGGAAGCUAGAGUAUGGGAGAGGAUGGUAGAAUUCCAGGUGUAGCGGUGAAAUGCGUAGAGAUCUGGAGGAAUACCGAUGGCGAAGGCAGCCAUCUGGCCUAAUACUGACGCUGAGGUACGAAAGCAUGGGGAGCAAACAGGAUUAGAUACCCUGGUAGUCCAUGCCGUAAACGAUGUCUACUAGCCGUUGGGGCCUUUGAGGCUUUAGUGGCGCAGCUAACGCGAUAAGUAGACCGCCUGGGGAGUACGGUCGCAAGACUAAAACUCAAAUGAAUUGACGGGGGCCCGCACAAGCGGUGGAGCAUGUGGUUUAAUUCGAUGCAACGCGAAGAACCUUACCUGGGCCUUGACAUACUAAAACUUUCCAGAGAUGGAUUGG